This 10342-nucleotide long non-coding RNA is filed under the name Daphnia pulex (common water flea). RNAcentral describes it as "uncharacterized LOC124194195, transcript variant X3". Lineage: Eukaryota; Metazoa; Arthropoda; Branchiopoda; Diplostraca; Daphniidae. The record is from RNAcentral.
UGUUGAAAUUUGUUAUUUAGAUAAACAGCAUCCCUUUGCAUUGGAAAAACUACCGAUGACGGCCGAGUUACGGAUCUCUCAUUUUCCCCUUUCUUUAAAUGUCCUCGUGUACGCCCAUGAGAAUGUGGGUGUAUUCACGAGGACUCCCUUUUACCUAUCCUUGCUGGUCGUGGAUUCAACUUUGCUGUGGAUGGAGCCCUUUUGGAUGCCUGGCUGUGGAUUUCCCAGGCAUAAAGGAACGAAAACCGAGCCACGGUCACUACUGUAGAGUACCUGACCCGGAAUAAAGGUGCUAGCGCCCGACGGACUCAGCAAAAUCUUGCCCGGCACGAAUCGAGGACCAGUUUUACUACCAAAUACUUGUCCAGAAGAUGGGUCCUGUGAAACCUUCAACUGAUUUCGAGGUUCCAGUAUCAAUGACUUGGCCAGGCACAAACUGCUCAAUUUUGCUGGGACCAGUCCUCACCGCUUGGCCAGGGAUAAAGAUGCUGCCGAGUGCAGAUUCUAUUGAUUUUCCAGGUAUGAAUUUCGGGGUGUCGUCCAUUUCCAUCAGCUGGCCAGGUACCACUUUGACGUCUUCAGCGUUGGCGGUUCCAACCAUCAACUCGUCAUGGCCUUGCUCGGCAUUGCAGUGAACGUGCUGUUGUCGAUGGGCAGGCCGUCGCUCACUCCCGUGCGGAAGAAAACUUCCUCUUCUUUGGCGGCCAACAGCAAUUGGUUGUUUUGGGUCGCGUCAAUUUUGCACGGGACGAAUCUCUCCUCCGCUAAGAUUCCCGCAACGAAUUGCGUUCCCUCUUUCGUUAACAUCGUCUCACCCGGAACGAAUCGCUUUUGGCCAUCCUCAAGGACCAUUUGACGACCCGGGCAAAAUCGUGUUCGUCCAUCCUUUGUCUUGUAACUUUGGCCAGCAAGAAACAGUGGGCCGUCAGCUGUUUCUACAUUUUCACCCAUCGUAAAUUCUGGCGUGCCGUUGGGACCGUCCAUCAAGACCUGUCCAGCUGAAAAUUGGCCGUCCAUGUCCACCUGUCCAGCAACGAAACGAGCGCCUUGCGGAGUAUCAAAAGUAACGCCGCUAAUGAACAUUGGGCCGUUAACUGUUUGAAAUAUCUGUCCAACGUGGAAUUUGUUAUCUACAGACGAAGUUUGUCCAGCGACGAAUUUCAAUCCUUCUCCGUCCGUUUGAAUCGUCCUUCCGGGUAAAAAUUUCGGACCAAAAAGUGUCUGGACGGCUUGACCAUUUACGAAUUGGGACAACUUGCCGUCUCUCAUAAUUUGCCCAGCAGAAAAUUUACCAUCAAAUGUGUAGCCUGGAAGAAAUCCGACUCCCUCUGGAUUUUGAACGAUACAUCCGGGCUGGAAAUUUUCUCCUACCAUCUUUCCCGGCACGAAUCCGGUGUUGGACUGCUGGCCCACCACGAAACGCUCUUCAUUUUCACCAACCGGCACCAUCAUACCUCCUACAGCUCGGAUUUUAUCUUCGUUCUUCACCACGGGCUGAGUGGCGACGAAACGGACCCCGUCCUGCUCGCUGCGUACCAUCCAUCCCUUUCUGCCGCGUUCCAGCGCUGUCAUAACGGUUCCCACUUCGUGAAUGAAAGGUAGGAACAUCAGCGAUUCGACGUCGCUGAAAAGAUCUUUCAACUGGCUGGUGGACGACGAAUCUUUCGUGGCCGUGAUCUUGUCCAGCUCUUGUACGAAAUUGGCUGGAAGUUUUCCCUUAAACGGUCGGAUGACUUCAUCGAAGACUGGCACAGCUUCAAACCCGACAGACUCUUCGUUCAAAAUAGGAACUUGAUUCGAGAGGAUGAGACCAGGUGACAUAGUGUUAGCAGGCAGCUGUACGGGCUGGAAAUUCCGGACUGGCAAAUCGGGCAGGUCUUCUUCUUUAAUAGCUGGCAGAGAUUCAAAGUCCCAGUUGUCGAUUUUCGGAUACAGAAGCUCACGCCAGUCGGUGCCAAUAGUCAGCAAAUUGGCCGCACUGCGGUGGUAUGCCGUGAUUUUGUCCAUCCGGUCGGUCCAGUCUGCAAUAAUCACUUGCUCUUGUUCGGAUUCUUCCGGCGGGGGUGACGCAGUUGGCGACAAGACGCUAUUCUUUUUCGGAUCGGAUAUUUUUCGCUUCUUGUACUGUCGAAUUUGUCGCUGCUUCGCCAGGAUUUCGUCGUCUUGACCGCCUCCCUCAAGCAGUGGCGGCAUGUCGUUGGGAACGGGCAGAGUCAUGGGUCGUAGAUUCAGGGUCAAACUGGGCCCGUCUUUGAGCCGAAUGAGGACGCUGGAUCCAUCUUUGGCUAGGAGAAGGUUCUCAAUCUCACCGCGACGGACGGCCGCUUCCAUGUCGGCCGGCAGGACUAAAUUCAAGUGAUUUUCAUCCAAUUGGUAGACGAAUCGCUGGCCCGGCUGGAAAGUCAAAGUGUCCAGCCGACUGCCCAUUCUGUCCAGUAUGGAUUUGAGUUGCUUGAGAUUGGCAUCUUUAGCUCCGAUGAUGGGGUAAAGGUAUUUGUAUGACUCGUUGAUUUGAUGUUUGGCCGUGAUGCGGCACUUCUCCGAUAGCCCGUUGUUUCCCGCGGCUGUCUGCUGGUAGUGAUGUUGGUCGUCGGCGUGACUCGUUAUGUGACAUUUAACGGCUUUAGAGAUGCGAGCAAAUUCAAUCAAAGGAACGUACGUGUGGCGGAGUUCCUCUUCAGAGCUGCCAACAGAUUUACCCAUCAGUCGACAUAUCCGGCGAGCCUCGACGGGCGAAAUGGGCGGCAACAGGGGGAAAUAGUUGGGUUUGGGCAGGUUGCGGCUGUUGCCCGUCACUCGACAAAAUGUAGGCAACAUGUUUGGACUUUUAAAAGGAGACCGGGUGAGAAUAUUAUAAUCAGUUGUCGACAACGAAACACGCACAGAGCACGCAACGGAGACCAGCAGCAGCUGCAGCUGCUUGAAAUUUCGAAUUAUCCUACCAGCCCCCCCAAAAAAAACACUCGCGAGCUGCACAAAUGUGUUCGAUUAUUCGUAAUCGUAGUGAUUAAGAUGUCUGGCGGCUAUACGCGGCCGGUUUUUUUUUUUUUUCACUGAAAAAAUGAAUUCCAAAUAAAUCUACGCACUCUAUGUAAGUGAUCCUUUUGACGGCUAAACAGCAUAGCGUCUACCGAAUGUUGCCAUUUUAUGCGGCCGUUCGUCUUUGGGCGCUCUUCUCCUACAAAGUAGUGCGUUGAUCUCUGUCGUGUUAAGCCGAGGACAGACCCCAAAGGAGUAAAAAGACUGACUGACUGGGGUUUCUGCUGCUGGGAUCCUCUUAUAAAUAGCGGAGCCCAACCUUCUAAUAGGAAGGAGGAGUGAGGUGGGGGGGGGGUGAGGUGGGAAGUGGGAGAGGAAAUAGCGCAACAACAGGGAGCGACAGUGGCGGCAAGGACAAGAAAAAGUUGUGUCUGGCACUAUGCAGCACGUCCGUAUAUGAUCGUAUGGGGGGGGGGAAUGACAGUAACGCCGGGGAGCACGGAUGACUGCACUUUUUGAUUUCCACCUGAAGCCAAAAAGCCAAUCCCGGAAUCCCGCGACAAACCCCGCGCCGCGACGAACAAGUUUUUGCGCUAGUCCUGGCCUUUCAUAACAUCCAAUCAUACUUUCAGGCAAAUUUUUUCGCGUCGCGCUGAUGAUGGAGAUUUCGUGGAAAUGAAAUACACUAAUUAAGUUUUGGGUUGCUCUCCGGCGUCCCUGAGUGAAACUGGGCGACUUGCCCGCUAGAUCGUUUCAAGGAUCCAAUCGACAAGUGCAACAGCAACAACAACAUCCGCAGAACAAGAAAAAGCAAUGCAAAAAUCAAGAGGAGACAACACAGAGGAAAAAAGAAGAAGAAAGCCAGACUAGUGUGAUUAUUAGAAGUUGGCCUUGGAAGAUUUUUGAUGAGAUGGGAGGAGGUUUGAAUGGCAUUACCAUAGCCGCAUACCCGGAAUGAUUCCUGCCUGCCUGGCCUGCCCACCUUCAUCAUUCGCAAGCCAACAGACGCAGGAAGGAAGGAGAAAAAGAUCUGAUUUAUUUGAUUUUCUAUUUUCCGCGCGCGCGUCCGUCCUGCUGCUGCUGGCAAGUGGCGAAGAACAUACUGGCAACGUGUCACCUUUUCUUUUCUUUUUGCCUUCUUCCCUCAUUUCCCCCCUUCCCCCAAUCUCUUUCUGGCUUUUGCAUCCGGCCAUCACCUAUCCGCCCACAAAUCCAGUCCGUCCGUCCGUCCAUCCGCCGCCUCGUCAUCCUUCAUUGCUGAAAUUCCUGAAAUGACUUUGCAAAUGUGUCAAUGUCGUCCUUUUGUUUUCUUUUCUGUAUACUACCUCGGCUUCGCUUAUUUAUUUAUUUUUUCUUCUAGAGGAUAGCGGACACGGCGAGUCAUUUUCGUUGCCGUUCGACGGGCUUUCAAUGAAGCGAACAAGAAAAGCUGAAAUGAGAGAGAACGCCGGACUCGAUUGCUGUUGACGAUGUGAGGCGAGACAAGACCAUAGCAAAAAUAACGAAAGAAAAUAAGGAAAAAGGCGAAACAAAACAAAAUCAAGAGAAUUCAAAAUGGACGUGGCAGCGUCCGUCCCGCAUUGGCGCGAAAAUUCCAAACUGUACCACCGACGUUCGCGGCGCCCGGCAUAAACCAUACAGGAUUUAGAGUGUGGAAUGCAGCAUACGUAUAGUAUAGAAGACCCGAGAAAAGAAACAAGUAACUUGCGGCCGUCAUUCCGUCCAUUCCUUUAGCGACCAAGAAGAAGCACGAGGUGCGUAUUCAAAUGUUUCUCUCAUUGGAAUUUCCAUACAAUUUUUUCUUGUUCUUCUCCCCUUUCCCGAUGUUCCUUUUUGCAAUUGCUGUCGUUGGCUUGUUAUUCUCUAUCUCCUUUCCAAUGGCAAGUCCAUCGCCAUGCAGAUCCAUUUUCAGACAGGAAGACGACAAUCAAGUAUAGACCCAAUUCGUUUAAUUGAUUAUAACGAGGAGCUAUAGUACAGAUAUUAUAGACACGCCCCCCGUUCGCCGUAUAGCAUUCCAUUGCCAUUCUAUCCAUUUAAACGUUUUUUUUAUUAAAUUCAACAUUUUGGCGCCAGAGAGGGGGAAGAAGGAGAGAUGGAUGAUGCCGGAAUUCAAGAUGGCCAUCGAUUCUUCCGACUUUUGGCGGUUUGUUUCUUUUUAAAUUUGCAAAAAAGCCAAUGAAACGGGAGGAGAAGAAAGGGCAAAACGUUGCGCUCGUUCAUCACAAUGACAUCAAAAGAGUUUGGCCUGCUGCUGAUGUUGUGUGCUGUUCUCUAUGCGGCGGCUGCUGUAUUAUCCAAUCCGCGCAACUGUCGCGGAUAUGAACCGUUGCACUGGAUGGACGAGGACGACGAAUGCCAUUCCAACCGUUGGCGACGGCGGCAGUUUGCAAAAGAGUGCACCGUACUCUCUGCGCGUAUACCAAGAUACUAGCAGGACAUUUGUACAUAAAACACGGAUGGCGGCGACAAUGAAUUGUUAAUAGAAAUAAAGAAAAAAAAGUUAGACAAAUUUGAUCCAACAACGACCAUUUAAGUUGAAUUCAAAGUCUCAUUUUCUGCUCUGUUGUCAGGCUAUUUUUGCCAGCUCCCGAUGUUUUUUCCUAUGUUUUUGCCUGAACCGAAAUUCCUACAUAAUCCACUGUCCACCAGGUGUAAUAAUAAUAAUAAUAAAGGGAACCUGCCUGCCGCUGCUGCCAGAUGAAAAAUCGUCCAAUCCGCCAACGACUCACGAUGGCGUCUCCGACUCGCCGUCCAGACGAGGCGCGGAUCAUUUAUCCCGCGGAGCGGAGGCGAUGCUGGCCCUUCUCAACAUGAGAACUCGUCCCUUAAGGAUCGUUGACUCAAUUUGGAAAAGGGAUUCUUCUUUUUCAUUUUGUGCUGACGGUUGUCACAAACCAUUUCUUUUCUAGCUGAUAUAUUCGACUUGGUUGUCGUUCAAACUAGCCAGCCGUUGUCAUAAACUCCGUUUUGUUGCCAUAGUGGGCUGCAGGCUUCUGUGUGUUUACAAGCUAUGCAGCCGAGAUGGGCGGUCGAACAACAACAACAAAAAAACACAAACAUCUGGACGAAUAAUAUGAAUGAGGAUUGAGGAGAUAUCAAGUUGGCAAGCCACGGACACGCAUUCUUCAGUCAGUCAGUCAGACAGUUGGGUUGAUUUUUAGUUCCUUAGGUUAAGGGGUGGGCCAUGCAGCUGGGCUAUACAGGAAAAAGACACUCUGCCCAGCAGCAUUGGAAAAUGAAAAAAAGGUGAAAGGGAUGUGGAUAUAAGAAGAAGGAUAAACGCUAUACUCGCGUGUGUAUAUCUGGGCCGCUUUCCUGCUGCAAGUUUGAUCCUAAGGAUUUGUCCACGUUGCCAAGACAUUUCAUCCGAGCAAAGAUAGAGAGAGGCAACCUAUGCAUACUGCUGCAUAAACUGAUCCCCUGUUCUAUCAGCUCCUGUCUGAUACAACGGAUUUUCCAUCCCCUACUACAUAUGAUAUAGCUGGCCAUCGGAUGCAUGACACGUCUAAUGCGACUGAUGGAUCAUACGCCAAUCACGUGAAAAAAAGGCUAAGAAACCUGCUGUGACGGGUCUUGGCCAACACGUCGGUGGUACAGUGACACUAUACAUGAUUGCACAUUGGAAUUUUUAGGCAAUACCUUCAAUAGCAUCCCGUGUUGGACAAUAUCUAUAAUUAUACAAGGACGCGAUACACACACACACACACAUACGCACACACACUGCAGGCACUGUGAGGAGGAGGUGACGGGCAGCAGAUUAGAUUUUUUGGCGAUAGUUUUGGCGUGUGCAAAGUGGGCGGUCAAUUAAGACAGGAAACGUCAAUCAUUCAAACACCCACUUCAUCAUUUGUUGCUGUCGUCAAUCACUUGAGUCGUCGUCGUCCUUGAAUGCAGAUGAUGACUAUACGCAUUGGACAACUUAUUCCUACUAUCGAUCGCUAUAGUUUGCUAACUUGUGCAACUUUUGGAUGAAACUAUAUUAGCUACUUAUUAUUCAGAGAAAUUUAUUUUUCUAAUUCCAGUUAAAGAGCCCUAUUUACGUUCGUCGGUGGUGACAAUCAGGUAAAAAGGAUGUGAUAGACGUCCGAAGGCUCACUGGAGACGGUGACAUUGUUGAAGGUUAUUCUGCUGCGAUUUGUUUUCCAUUUGGCGAAGUAAUAUUGUGAUACAUAUAUAAGGAAAUAGCGGAAACGAUGUGAAAUACUGUUGAGCAGGAAAUAACUUCCGAUCAUGGUUGAUGCAAUCUCUAGUACAUCCAAAAAGGGCACGGAAAAAAUGUUCCUUCUUCUCAACACAUUUGAAUACGUUUUUUUCUCUUCAGGCCUAUAAUAGGUAACAACAAGGAACCGAUGACGCAAUGGGAAAGAAUGGCGUGAUCAUAUAGGAGGUGAUGAAGUAAGAGGGUAAAGCGCUAGGUGGCAGUAGGUAGCCACUUGGCCGGCUCCAUCGUUCACCCAUUUAUUUAUUCUUCGCAGUUCCGUGAAGUUGUAUUCCAUCUAGACGAACAGCUCGAAAGGCACAUCACUGAGAUUUAGUGAUAUUCGUUUAAAUGUACAGUUUAAUAUCUUUCUUCAAUGUCGUCGUCAACUGUGCGCAUAACGGUGGAUACUCUGGUUAUAAUUUAUAACGCAGUUGUUGUAAGAUGCCUUAAGUUUUAAAGAUAAUCAAAAACGAAAGCCAAGUUUCUGCACAAAGAAAUAUGUGCAUUAUUAAUACUAGUAUAGAGGGUACAGUACAACCUAGUAGAAGACAGAGACGUACAGCUCAUCCCUAGCUAGACACAGAGUUAUUUAUAGCGCUGCAAUGAUUCUGAUCAAAUAUAGACAAACAUAAAAGUUAUCUGCACAGUGCACACACGUAUAAGUGUGCACGUCGCAGAGAUCGAAAGGAAAACGGGAUCAUCGCCCUUUUCCUGGUUCUUCGAAAUUUUGCAGAUCUAGCCACAUCACUCAUGACAUGAACACUACUUGAUGGAGGCUGUAAGGUAUACAGUGCCUACUUAAAGAAUGAGAACGCGCGAGAAAAUUUUAUGUAAAAAGGGGAUUUUCUCGGCGCCCACCGGAAUUAAAUUUUCUUGCGCGAAGAGCGAAGAAAUUUUUUUUUACACAAUCAACAGUCAUUAAUUUAUGGCAACAUUAUGGUUAUUAAGGGCAACAGUGGCAACACCGCUUCCAAUCCACGAAUGUUCGUCUGCAAAGGUCUAUAACUCUACUCUCUACAUUCUGGGAUUCUGCAUUGUUAUGUAUUUCUCAAAUGGUGAGGCUAGCUUUAGGCAUAUUGUUGCAAAGUUUCAAUCGUUGAAUUGUUAAAUUGUGGUGAACAUUUGGAAAAUGAGUUCGUUCACGCAAAAGUUUGCUUUUGUUUCUCGGUGGCCUAACCUGACACCUGUGUUACCCACUGCUGUCCCGUUGCCUCCUAUAAACGUGGAUAAAACAGCAAUCAAACGUCAAAUCAAGGAAAUGCUAGAAACAGCCUUGAGUUUGAGUAUUCAGUAUGACUAUUGAAGUUUUUUGCUUAAAACGAGAAAAAUAAACAGUCCACAAGGGGAUUGGCAUUGGUUAUAGUUCCACGUCAGACUUCAGACAACAAAAUAUCAGUGUUAAAGAAAAAUCAGUGAAAAGAUCGUGCAAAAAACGUGUGGAAUCAAUGAAAGGCUUUUUACUUACAGAUUCAAUAGAGAAAAAAAGUCAAGAUUGAUAACUUUUAAUCUUUUCAUUCAACAUCUAUUACAGCCAAUCUCUUACAAUGUGAACAGCAAGAUUACUAAACUGACAUAUUUGAACCGACAUUGACGCGAUGAUCAUUAAAAAAAACUGACGUUCGGGAAGAAAUUAGCUUGGUGAGGAAACUCUUGUCAUGGAGAAAAGUAAUAUGUGGCUGUACUCAAGCCUCCAACAAAUGAACUCUUGCUGCAGUUUUAACCAAGACGGUAUUUGAAAAGCCCCUUUAGAAAGAGCUAUACUAUCUGAGGCAGGUGACUCCCAUGAUACAAUUAUCAAGCAAGUAUAAGGCAAGGACAAUUGUAAUCUGGAACUCGACGAACAGGUCAAUGUUGAGAAAGAAGAAGAUGACUGCUCAAUACAAUUAAAUCAAAGAAGGACAAUACGGAAGCUCUGGUGGAAGCUAUGAAAGAGUUUGGCGUUGAAGUGGAUAUCGAUUUAAUUUAACUAGUGUGAAAUCCCAAAGUAGAGCCAGAAGGUCCAUCUAUCACCGGCACACCAAUAUCCAACGGAACUUACUCCACAAGACUGGCAUAAGUGUAGUGCCUACUGAAAUUAACUUACGAAUCAUAGUUCCGAUGGAUUCACUUUCAAGGAGAAAAGCAGUCGACAGUCCCUAUAGGAGGAGAGACACUGUAACUGCCAUUUGCUUAGCGAUUGAGAUUAGCGAAAGUCGUGGAUACCAUCUGUCAAUCAAUGCGUCUUGUCUACCGACCCGGAUCCCCCGUGUGUAUAUCGAUCCUCUCGAUCCUGGUUGCUUACAUCCGCCAAGUUUUUAUUGACACUAGCCAGCAAAAAGCUCGCAGAAACAUUCGCGAAGAUAACGGAAAAGAGACACCAACACGGGGGAAAGAAACAAAAGGACGCCAGUUCAUCCAUUCUCACGCUCAAAAGAAGUUCCGUUGAUUACUGUACCCCAAGCUUGUCUGCUUAACAUUUAAGAAAAGACGACGAUAGCUCUAAGCCUCUAAUAAGAUAAACAGCAAUGGCUGUGGAAGAACUGAACAAACGCAAAAGAUUCAAAUCGCCGUCACUUUUUUUUAUAAAGCAGGAACACAUUUCUAUUACCUACCUUUUGUUCGUUUCUGUCAUCCAGCAGUUCCUUACUGUCUACUAGUUCGUAAUCCGAAAUACAAAAUCGCUUUACAACUGGUUGUGAGUUUGGGACCGGCGAAUGUAGUUUUUAAAGUAAAAUAAGUCGUCGAAGAACGCUCCGUCAACGUCAAUUUUUAUUUGCCAAUAAACAGUGCCCGAAGAGUUCAUACCGAGACCGCUAUUUCAUGUGCCUUGGCUUGCAGGAUACGAAUUAGGUAAUCUAAAAUUGAGCGAAGAUGGUGACGAGAGUUGCAACGUGGAAGCGGCUCACCUCUGGAAGAUGUUUAGCGAAGAUGACGUUGAAGUGAAAUGCAGUAUGUUUCCUCCAAGUGCUGCCAAACGCUCAGAGUCUGAUUGAAAAGUGUUCGAAUCCGGUCAAUCGGUCUAUCCAUCUAAUUGGUCCAUUACUUCCUGGUUGAUUUGAUUUUCAUUUUCACCAUCAUUUAGAGAUUGACUUAACAUUUGCUGUUGCCUUGUACUCUUGUAAAUAGUAUGUUACAGUGAAUAGAAAUGCAUUCUGAAUAACUGGCAGGUUAGCUAACCAA